Molecule: ribosomal RNA, 927 nt
Filed under: uncultured bacterium
Lineage: Bacteria
Description: bacterial SSU rRNA
Rfam family: Bacterial small subunit ribosomal RNA
Source: RNAcentral
GUUUGAUCCUGGCUCAGAAUCAACGCUGGCGGCGAGCCUAACACAUGCAAGUCGAACGCGAAAGUCCCGCAAGGGAUGAGUAGAGUGGCAAACGGGUGAGUAACACGUGGGUGACCUGCCUUCGAGCGGGGGAUAACGUCCCGAAAGGGACGCUAAUACCGCAUAACAUCCUGCCUUUGAAGAGGCGGUGAUCAAAGCUGGGGAUCGCAAGACCUAGCACUCGAAGAGGGGCCCGCGUCCGAUUAGCUAGUUGGUGAGGUAACGGCUCACCAAGGCAACGAUCGGUAGCCGGCCUGAGAGGGCGGACGGCCACACUGGGACUGAGACACGGCCCAGACUCCUACGGGAGGCAGCAGUGGGGAAUUGUUCGCAAUGGGCGCAAGCCUGACGACGCAACGCCGCGUGGAGGAUGAAGAUCUUCGGGUCGUAAACUCCUUUCGAUCGAGACGAAUUCCUCCGGGGUGAACAAUCCCGGAGGUUGACGGUACCGAGAGAAGAAGCCCCGGCUAACUCCGUGCCAGCAGCCGCGGUAAUACGGGGGGGGCAAGCGUUGUUCGGAAUUACUGGGCGUAAAGGGCUCGUAGGUGGCCAACUAAGUCGGACGUGAAAUCCCUCGGCUUAACCGGGGAACUGCGUCCGAUACUGGUUGGCUUGAGUUUGGGAGAGGGAUGCGGAAUUCCAGGUGUAGCGGUGAAAUGCGUAGAUAUCUGGAGGAACACCGGUGGCGAAGGCGGCAUCCUGGACCAACACUGACGCUGAGGAGCGAAAGCCAGGGGAGCAAACGGGAUUAGAUACCCCGGUAGUCCUGGCCCUAAACGAUGAAUGCUUGGUGUGGCGGGUAUCGAUCCCUGCCGUGCCGAAGCUAACGCAUUAAGCAUUCCGCCUGGGGAGUACGGUCGCAAGGCUGAAACUCAAAUGAAUUGACGG